This 658-nucleotide ribosomal RNA is filed under the name Leotiomycetes sp. genotype 625 JMUR-2016. RNAcentral describes it as "eukaryotic LSU rRNA". The stretch from base 70 to 658 matches the Rfam family "Eukaryotic large subunit ribosomal RNA", at positions 1 to 593 of the family's 3401-position model. The record is from RNAcentral. Lineage: Eukaryota; Fungi; Ascomycota; Leotiomycetes.
AAGCGUAGUAAUUCUUCUCGCUAUAGUCCCCGGGAGAACACUUGCCAUAACCCCCCACACUUUUAAGGUUGACCUCGGAUCAGGUAGGGAUACCCGCUGAACUUAAGCAUAUCAAUAAGCGGAGGAAAAGAAACCAACAGGGAUUACCUCAGUAACGGCGAGUGAAGCGGUAACAGCUCAAAUUUGAAAUCUGGGUCUUUUAGGCUCCGAGUUGUAAUUUGUAGAAGAUGCUUCGGGUGUGGCCCCGGUCUAAGUUCCUUGGAACAGGACGUCAUAGAGGGUGAGAAUCCCGUAUGUGACUGGGUGCUUUCGCUCAUGUGAAGCUCUUUCGACGAGUCGAGUUGUUUGGGAAUGCAGCUCAAAAUGGGUGGUAUAUUUCAUCUAAAGCUAAAUAUUGGCCAGAGACCGAUAGCGCACAAGUAGAGUGAUCGAAAGAUGAAAAGCACUUUGGAAAGAGAGUUAAACAGUACGUGAAAUUGUUGAAAGGGAAGCGCUUGCAAUCAGACUUGCACGCCGUUAAUCAUCCAGGGUUCUCUCUGGUGCACUUAGCGGCGUUCAGGCCAGCAUCGGUUUUAGGGGUGGGAUAAAGGCCUUGGGAAUGUAGCUUCUUUCGGGAAGUGUUAUAGCCCUCGGUGCAAUGCCGCCUCCUGGGACCGAG